CGUUACUUUUCUCUCCCUCUGGCCAGUCCCUUGGCAAGUGUGACUGACCAGGGGGAAAUGGUGUGAAGAAGGAAAAAAAAAAGGAAAAAAAAAAAAAAGGAGGAACUGGGAGGGGGAGGGGAGGAAGAAAAAGAAACGAGGUCGGAAUCUGUAUUUUUCUCCUUUUUUUGCAAAGAAACCAGAGGAGGAGGCUUGAACGUGUGGCUGCUGCGGUUAGGGAGAAAGUUGAUGCCUAUUUCAAUGAAAAGUUUGGGCUUUUAAUCUGCCCAGGUGUCUUCUCCCUAGAAGGAUGAAGAUCACUGACAGCUAUCGGUGCUUUAUAAUAAGCAACUCCAAUGCGCGGAAUGUUGGAGGUAAAAUGUACCCUUGUUGCUCCACAUUAACUUUGGAACAGGAUCUCAACAGAAAAAUGCAUAUCUGGAUGCUGCAGACUAUAGCGUUUGCUGUAACAUCUCUCGUCUUUUCGUGUGCAGAAACCAUCGAUUAUUAUGGGGAAAUUUGUGACAAUGCAUGUCCUUGUGAGGAGAAGGACGGAAUCUUAACAGUGAGCUGUGAAAACAGGGGGAUCAUCAGCCUCGCAGAAAUCAGCCCUCCACGAUUUCCAGUCUACCACCUCUUGUUGUCUGGCAACCUUCUGAACCGUCUCUACCCCAAUGAGUUUGUCAAUUACACUGGGGCUUCAAUUUUACAUCUAGGGAGCAAUGUCAUCCAGGACAUUGAGACAGGGGCAUUUCAUGGGCUUCGAGGUUUAAGGCGAUUGCAUCUGAAUAAUAAUAAACUGGAACUACUAAGGGAUGACACUUUCCUUGGAUUGGAGAGUCUGGAGUAUCUACAAGUCGAUUACAAUUACAUCAGCGCCAUUGAACCUAAUGCUUUUGGCAAACUGCACUUGCUGCAGGUGCUGAUCCUCAACGACAACCUUUUGUCGAGUUUACCCAACAACCUUUUCCGUUUUGUGCCCUUAACGCAUCUGGACCUUAGGGGCAACCGGUUGAAACUUCUGCCCUACAUAGGGUUGUUGCAGCAUAUGGAUAAAGUUGUAGAAUUACAGCUAGAAGAAAACCCCUGGAAUUGUUCUUGUGAGUUGAUCUCACUCAAAGAUUGGUUGGACAGCAUUUCCUAUUCUGCUUUGGUAGGGGAUGUGGUUUGUGAGACUCCUUUCCGGUUACAUGGGCGGGACUUGGAUGAAGUAUCGAAGCAGGAGCUUUGCCCAAGGAAACUCAUCUCGGACUAUGAAAUGAGGCCCCAGACACCUUUGAGCACUACUGGGUAUUUACACACCACCCCAGCCUCGGUCAAUUCGGUGGCCACCUCUUCCUCUGCUGUUUACAAGCCUCCCCUGAAGCCCCCUAAAGGGACCCGCCAACCCAAUAAACCCAGGGUACGCCCCACCUCGCGCCAGCCCUCUAAAGACUUGGCCUACAGCAACUAUGGCCCCAGCAUCGCCUACCAGACUAAAUCGCCGGUGCCUUUGGAGUGUCCUACUGCGUGCUCUUGCAAUCUGCAGAUUUCUGACUUGGGCCUCAAUGUUAACUGCCAGGAGAGGAAGAUAGAAAGCAUCUCUGAGCUUCAGCCCAAACCCUACAAUCCCAAGAAGAUGUACUUGACAGAGAACUACAUCACAGUCGUUCGUCGGACUGAUUUCCUGGAGGCGACAGGGCUAGACCUGCUGCAUCUUGGAAACAAUCGCAUCUCGGUAAUCCAGGACCGUGCUUUUGGGGAUCUAACCAAUCUGCGACGACUCUAUCUUAAUGGCAACCAGAUUGAACGCCUGAACCCAGAGCUGUUUUAUGGUCUACAGAGCUUGCAGUAUCUUUUCCUCCAGUAUAAUAUUAUCCGAGAGAUCCAGGCUGGGACCUUUGAUACAGUCCCUAACCUACAGCUUUUGUUUUUAAACAACAACCUCUUGCAGGCCCUACCCGGGGGCAUUUUUUCCGGCCUCACGCUGCUUAGGCUAAAUCUAAGGAGCAAUUACUUUUCUUCCUUGCCUGUGAGUGGAGUGUUGGAUCAGCUGAAAUCUCUUAUUCAGAUCGACUUGAAUGACAACCCUUGGGAUUGCACUUGUGACGUGGUGGGCAUGAAGUUGUGGGUAGAACAACUCAAAGUAGGGGUACUUGUAGAUGAGGUCAUCUGCAAGGCCCCCAAGAAGUUCGAGGAGACCGAUAUGAGGUCUAUUAAGUCGGAGCUUUUGUGCCCAGACUAUUCUGAUGUGGUGGUUUCUACACCUACUCCCUCCUCCAUACAGAUUCCACCACGAACCACAUCCUUGCCCUCCACAGUCAGAUUCAACAGCACGGGUGCCACUGCUGGGGGUGGCUCUAGCAACAGCGCUUCUUCAGUCCCCUUGUCUGUGCUGAUCCUCAGCUUGCUGCUUGUCUUCAUCAUGUCAGUUUUCGUGGCUGCUGGGCUCUUUGUUCUGGUGAUGAAAAGGAGAAAGAAGAACCAGAGCGAUCACACCAGCACCAACAACUCCGACGUGAGUUCCUUCAACAUGCAGUACAGUGUGUACAGUAGCAGCGGGAGCAGUAGCCACCACCAUUCACAUACUCACCACAGGGGCCCAACCCUCCCUAAAGUCAAAACUCCCGCGGGCCACGUGUACGAAUAUAUCCCACAUCCACUGGGCCACAUGUGCAAAAACCCCAUCUACCGUUCCCGGGAGGGCAAUUCCGUGGAAGAUUACAAAGAUCUGCACGAGCUCAAGGUCACCUACAGUAGUAAUCACCACCUGCAGCCUCAACAGCAGCAGCAGCAGCCACAACAGCCACAGCCUCAGCAGCAGCAGCAGCAGCCGCAGCAGCAGCUGCAGCUACAGCAGGGAGAUGAGGAGAGGCGGGAAAGCCACCACCUGCGGAGCCCCGCCUAUAGUGUCAGUACCAUUGAGCCGAGGGAGGAGCUGCUGUCACCCAUGCAAGACGCUGAUCGCUUUUACAGAGGCAUUUUAGAACCCGAUAAACACUGCUCGGCUACCACGGCUGGCAGUAGCCUCCCAGAAUAUCCUAAAUUCCCUUGCAGCCCUGCUGCCUAUACUUUCUCCCCCAACUAUGACCUUAGGCGCCCCCAUCAGUACUUACACCCAGGGGCUGGGGACAGCAGGCUCCGGGAAACGGUGCUCUAUAGUCCCCCGAGUACUGUCUAUGUAGAACCCAACAGGAAUGAAUAUCUGGAAUUAAAAGCAAAACUAAACGUUGAGCCGGACUACCUCGAAGUGUUGGAAAAACAGACCACAUUUAGCCAGUUCUAAAGGCAACAAACUCCCCAUAGAGCAUUUGUAUUUAAAACAAACACACGAACAAGCAAACACAUGAUGAACCGGUUUGAUUGAUUGUGUUGUUUCAACGUUUAGGGUGAAGUGCCUUGGCACAGGAUUUUCAGCUACGGCGAAUGAUACUGAAAGGCUGGAAAAAAAAACUUGCUGAAGUGGACAGCAUGAUUUCCAAAUCUUUAUGCAUGUUUUUGAGCCAUCAUGGAUAUUCAAAAUGAAAUGAACUAAAAAAAGGAAGGAAGGAAAGAAAAGAAAAAAAAAAGGAUGAAAAGAAGGAAGGAAUGAAGUAAGGAAGGAAGGGAGAAAGGAAGGAAGAUGAACCUGGAAUGACAGUCUUCACUACUCAUUUUAACCUGUUGCCUGAAGAAAAUAAUGCGGUUUAAUUAUAGCCUAAAUAAUACUAUUUAUGGAAGGGCAAGUUAAGACCAUUGCUACCAACUGCUUAUUGCUUGAUUUGAAGAAUUAAAAUAAAAAUUAUAUCUUCCAAACUUCUAGCAUUUUCUAAAUUUCAUAGUGAAAUCUACCAAGUCAGUUUUUACUCAAGAAUUAUUUUCAACACUGAGACUGCAGUUGAUAAAAAACCCUUUGAUUUCCACUGAAGAAUUUGUAUGUGCAAUUAUUAUUAUGCUUAUUAUCGACUUGUCUCUGGACUUCUAUUCUCUAAAGGGAAUAUGGGUUCCCUUUCUCAUCUUAUUUCUUGAAACAGAAAAUUUGGAGUUACUGAAAUAUUUCAGCCUAGUACUGGUUUGGCCUUUCAGGUUAUUUAUGCUGUUUUAGGGAAUGAUAACUUUUUUUUUCUUAUCUUCUAAGUUCACAUGUUUGACUAGAUUCUAGAUUUCAUUGGAUUUGCUCUAGUAUGCUAUUUUUCUUCAUUUUUUCUUUGAUAUUUUUGAGUAUUCUUUUAGCAUAUCAUUAUUACUACUGGAUGCCUUUGGAGAUCUGUAAGUACCAAGUGAUGAAAACACUAAGGAACAUUCUUUUUUCUUGAGCCAUGUUUUGUUUCUUUAGCUAAUGUUUUGAAUUAAAGAAUAAAUGAAUGAAAAUACUAACUUUUUCUAUAUGCCAAAUGAAAGGAAUAUAAAUAUAAAAGCGAGACCAUCCUUGCCUUAAAGGAACUUAUUAACUUAAUAGGGGGAGAUAAUACAUGGAGGAAAAUUAGGGUCAAUAAGGGGUAUUAUGGUUUGUGAAACUAAAGGUACAAUGAAUGGAGUCACAAGAAAAUGAUUGGCACAUUUUUUCCAGUGUAAAUGGGAGUCUUGGUUUGCUUAGAAUUCUACAGCUAGAAACUUGGGAGGGUUGGUGGAGUAGUUGGAGAGUAUUAAGAAAGACAUCUUGGAUAGCAAGAAAAUAGUAGGGGCUGAAUUUAAGGCAUAUCUGAAGCCUAUUAAUUAACAUUCAUGAGUCAGCACAAUACCUGCCCACAAUAGAAAUCCUGGAGAAGAAAUCUCCAAGACCAUGAGCUCUGGAUGUCUUGUUCAUAGAAGCUCUAGUGAUAGGUAAGGUGAAGUUGGCUGGAAAGAACAUAGUCAUGUAAGAGAAAAUUAAGAAAAGUUUUCCAAAACAAGAUAGUGAUUUUCUACUUCAACACUUUAAGGAUUUGUAAUUUUUAAUGUAAAAAAUUUCCUCAACUGAAAAAAGACCACAAUCCCUCUUCCCCCCCUUAUUAAAGAACAUUAGGGAAUUACUUUGGGGGGAAAGUCAUAGUGUUGGGGGCCAAAUUUUUGAUGAUGACAUUCUGAAGACUUAAUUAUUCCUCGAAUAGAUAUUGCCAUUCCUAGAAGUUUUUCCAGCUUUUUAGGCUUGCUACAGUUUGUUUGUCUCUGCUAUAACCUUGGAGGAUAUAGGAUCACUUCUAUGGCAGGUUGACAGGUAUAAAAACAGAACUUUUGAUCUCUGUUAUACUCCAAUAAAUUAGUGUUUAAUUCUUACUUAAAGUCAUGUGGAAAUAUAAUUUAUUUUAAUUUUACUUCAGAGCAUAUCAUAUGGGUAAAAAAGUUCCAUUACUUAUUCAAUUCAGUUCAAUUUCAUUUCCCAAAUAUAUAUUAAGUAACUACUUUUAUGUGGAAACUGCUGUGUAGUUUGUGAAUAAGUAACUUUUCUCACUUUUUCUAAAUAUACUAUCUUUUACUUAAAUGUAAAUACUGAUAUUUAGCUUUUUAAAAUUUUUGUUUCUUUUAAGAAAAAUUGAUUUAUUAGCAUAUUGUUAAAAGUUUUUCAGAUUUAAAAUUAUGCAUAAAAAAGAUAUUCUGGAAUGACAAAAUUCAUCUAAGUCCCUUAUGUAGAAGCAUUUUACCCCUUCCUUAUUUCUGUCACUAGAAUCUUUUCUUGAUUUCUUUCCCCUUCAAAUGCUAUUUCAUGAAUCAUUUCACUAUUCAAGAUACAUACUAAGUAGGUCCAAAAAUGAAUGUAAGGUGGCAUAAGUAGCAUGUGAGGGGAAGAACUAUAUAAGGGGAGUAUGUGAAAAGCUGAGAUAUAGCCUUUCAGUCCCACGGGCUAAGAAAAGAAUGAGAGAAAGGAUACAUGAGAAAAAGGAUAGGAUCAGAUAAUCUCUGAAGAGGAAGGGAUUUUGAGACCAUAUAUUGCGGCCCCUACCUUGUUGGAACACACGACCACAACUAUGGAAAAGGAAGUAAGUAAUGAAAUCUCUGUGGCUAAAGAGAAAUAAGAAACAAAAUGAUUAGAAAGCCAUUUUGGGUCUAAGAAGUAUUUUGGGAAAGGUGGGAAGUUUAAUCUAAAUUGAUGAGAAAUUCUAGAUCCUGUAGCAAAUAAAACUUCUACAUAUUGUCUUUAUUUUUCUCAUUUCUUCUCAUUCAACUAUUCUAUUCUUUAUUUAACUCUCCUCAACAACCCCCCAGGGUUAGCAAUAGUUAUAUAUGAAAGGCCAUACUUGACUCCUUUGCCCAAUACACAAAAAACUGUCUCUAGAGAUCAGAGUUGAGUCGAUCCCUUUUUAAAAUGUUUCCAACCUUAAAAUUUAGAAUUUAACACUUUUUUCACAUCAAAAUACUUUUGUAUAGGAUAAUUAAGUCCUAUAGUAAUUUUAGUAAAAGUUAUACUUUAUGAACAUUAGCUUUUGUAGUCUGGAGA
This is an RNA transcript of Sarcophilus harrisii (Tasmanian devil), 6352 nucleotides long. It is a transcript of the gene named SLIT and NTRK like family member 5, with no coding region annotated. NCBI's taxonomy places the organism in Eukaryota, Metazoa, Chordata, Mammalia, Dasyuromorphia, Dasyuridae. The record is from RefSeq and is a predicted model, not a curated record. The transcript has 4 exons.